Molecule: ribosomal RNA, 354 nt
Filed under: uncultured bacterium
Lineage: Bacteria
Description: bacterial SSU rRNA
Rfam family: Bacterial small subunit ribosomal RNA
Source: RNAcentral
AACGAACGCUGGCGGCAGGCUUAACACAUGCAAGUCGAACGGCUGUAGCAAUACAGCAGUGGCAGACGGGUGAGUAACACGUGGGAACCUUCCUAGGGGUACGGAACAACUCAGGGAAACUUGAGCUAAUACCGUAUACGUCCGUAAGGAGAAAGAUUCAUCGGCCCCUAGACGGGCCCGCGUCGGAUUAGGUAGUUGGUGGGGUAACGGCCUACCAAGCCUGCGAUCCGUAGCUGAUCUGAGAGGAUGAUCAGCCACACUGGGACUGAGACACGGCCCAGACUCCUACGGGAGGCAGCAGUGGGGAAUCUUGGACAAUGGGCGCAAGCCUGAUCCAGCCAUGCCGCGUGAGUG